This 292-nucleotide small RNA is filed under the name Pongo abelii (Sumatran orangutan). Its description in RNAcentral is "retained intron". Lineage: Eukaryota; Metazoa; Chordata; Mammalia; Primates; Hominidae. The record is from RNAcentral.
CAGACGAUGCACUGUCUCAGGUCACUCUUAGCCUCCUACGGGGGCACGACAGAAGGAGAGGAACAUUUAGAGAGGCACAGCUCCUACAUCCUUGGAUGGGGAGAGUGGGGAGCAAACAGCCCAGUUCACACUUCUUUCCUCUGUGAAGCCUUCCUUCUCCCAGCAUUCCCUCCCCUCACCCUACUGUGCUGUGGCCGCCACUCUGCCUGGGACUACAGCCAUUUGUCCUUCUGCCUCUCCUCUGCCUGAGAGCAAGGUGAGAGGAUCCCGUUCCUGUUCUCCAUUUCCUGCC